This 496-nucleotide ribosomal RNA is filed under the name uncultured Eubacterium sp. RNAcentral's name for it is "bacterial SSU rRNA". It matches the Rfam family "Bacterial small subunit ribosomal RNA", at positions 8 to 521 of the family's 1533-position model. Lineage: Bacteria; Bacillati; Bacillota; Clostridia; Eubacteriales; Eubacteriaceae. The record is from RNAcentral.
AGAGUUUGAUCCUGGCUCAGGACGAACGCUGGCGGCACGCUUAACACAUGCAAGUCGAACGGUGAAGAGUAGCUUGCUAUUCGGAUCAGUGGCGGACGGGUGAGUAACACGUGAGCAAUCUGCCUCCAAGUGGGGAAUAACGGUUGGAAACGGCCGGUAAUACCGCAUAACAUAUACGAGUCGCAUGACUUGUAUAUCAAAGAUUUAUCGCUUGGAGAUGAGCUCGCGUCUGAUUAGAUAGUUGGUGAGGUAACGGCCCACCAAGUCGACGAUCAGUAGCCGGACUGAGAGGUUGAACGGCCACAUUGGGACUGAGACACGGCCCAGACUCCUACGGGAGGCAGCAGUGGGGAAUAUUGCACAAUGGGCGCAAGCCUGAUGCAGCGAUGCCGCGUGAGGGAAGAAGGUUUUCGGAUUGUAAACCUCUGUUGACAGGGACGAUAAUGACGGUACCUGUUCAGAAAGCUCCGGCUAACUACGUGCCAGCAGCCGCGGU